CAAACUACUCUAGGCACAUGCUCAAUAUGUGGUAUUGAUGAUGAGUGUAUUUUUCAUGCAUUGGUGGUUUGUCCCAAGGCUCGUGCAUUCCGCAUGGCUCUGAAGGAAGUGUGGAAAUUACCAGCGGAGGAGACCUUCAAAUAUUCUGGACCGGAGUGGUUCCUUAUUCUAUUGGACCAGUUAAGUACGUCUGUUCGUGAGCAAACUAUAUUCAUGUUUUGGAGAGCUUGGCACUUGAGGAAUGAUUUGAUCUUUGGUAAGGGAAUGGAAUCC
This 273-nucleotide ribosomal RNA is filed under the name Triticum aestivum (bread wheat). Its description in RNAcentral is "partial small subunit ribosomal RNA". The record is from RNAcentral. Lineage: Eukaryota; Viridiplantae; Streptophyta; Magnoliopsida; Poales; Poaceae.